Molecule: ribosomal RNA, 548 nt
Filed under: uncultured bacterium
Lineage: Bacteria
Description: bacterial SSU rRNA
Rfam family: Bacterial small subunit ribosomal RNA
Source: RNAcentral
UAGGGAAUCUUCGGCAAUGGACGAAAGUCUGACCGAGCAACGCCGCGUGAGUGAAGAAGGUUUUCGGAUCGUAAAGCUCUGUUGUAAGAGAAGAACGGGUGUGAGAGUGGAAAGUUCACACUGUGACGGUAUCUUACCAGAAAGGGACGGCUAACUACGUGCCAGCAGCCGCGGUAAUACGUAGGUCCCGAGCGUUGUCUGGAUUUAUUGGGCGUAAAGCGAGCGCAGGCGGUUAGAUAAGUCUGAAGUUAAAGGCUGUGGCUUAACCAUAGUACGCUUUGGAAACUGUUUAACUUGAGUGCAGAAGGGGAGAGUGGAAUUCCAUGUGUAGCGGUGAAAUGCGUAGAUAUAUGGAGGAACACCGGUGGCGAAAGCGGCUCUCUGGUCUGUAACUGACGCUGAGGCUCGAAAGCGUGGGGAGCGAACAGGAUUAGAUACCCUGGUAGUCCACGCCGUNNCGAUGAGUGCUAGGUGUUAGGCCCUUUCCGGGGCUUAGUGCCGCAGCUAACGCAUUAAGCACUCCGCCUGGGGAGUACNACCGCAAGGUU